RNAcentral lists this unclassified non-coding RNA (1183 nucleotides) under Stegodyphus dumicola. Its description in RNAcentral is "aTP-dependent Clp protease proteolytic subunit, mitochondrial-like, transcript variant X3". Lineage: Eukaryota; Metazoa; Arthropoda; Arachnida; Araneae; Eresidae. The record is from RNAcentral.
GUUAUUAAUUGAAUCUAAAUGAAUCUGUACAAUACAAAGCUGUACCUUUUUUGGGUGAAUCAGACACUUGCCAGUAAUGAGGCACAUAUGCUGCAUAAAUAAAGAUUUGGAAGAUAAAAUAGAAAUGUUUAGGAGAAGCAAGUUACGAGAUUAGUUUCAGAUGUUAAAAUCUGAUGAUAAAGCUCUGAUGCUGCAUUUUUUUAAACUUUUAGGUGCAUAUUCUGCAACUGUCAGACAUGAAAAUAGUUUUCAUCAAAGCUCCAAGCACUUCCUUCGGAUCCCCCUGGCUAUUUCAAAAGAUGAAGGAAAAGCAUAUGAUAUUUAUUCCAGACUUUUAAAAGAGAGAAUAAUUUAUGUUAUGGGUGAUAUCACAGAUGAUAUGGCUAGUGUGGUUGUAGCGCAACUUUUUUAUCUUCAAUCUAAAAGUAGUACAGAACCUAUACAUAUGUACAUAAACAGUUCUGGAGGAUUGGUGACUGCUGGAUUUGCAAUUUAUGAUACUAUGCAAUAUAUUUUGCCCCCAGUAGCUACCUGGUGUGUAGGUCGAGCAUGCAGCAUAGCAAGUAUUUUGCUUAGCGCUGGUGAACAUGGUAUGCGGUAUUCUCUUCCUAAUUCUAGUAUAAUGAUACAUCAGCCAUCUGGUAGUGCUUGGCAGGGCCUGUGGCCUUCUUCAAUGUACCUUGAAUGGUACACAGGACAGGGACCAUGGGCGUUUGUGCCCCUCACCUUUCCUCUCCAGCCCACACAAGUACCUUGCCACCCAACCGUCAGUCGUUAGGUACAGUGUCAGACAAAGAUGUUCGAGUUCCAAAAGCCGUGGGAAUUCAAGCUGUGAGCAAGUUUAAUCUAGGUUAAUACUGUACGCCGACUACAUGCGCAGACAUUGUGCACUGGUCAAAAUAGCCCUUCUGAGCACCUAGUACAAUAUAAUGGUCAUUUUCCAUGUGUCUAGAAAGCCAUGUGUUAUGUAUCAUCUACACAUUCCUUCUGCAUAUUUAUGGCUGAGUGGCUGGCGAAGAAAAUUUUCGAUCUAAAGUAACCUUACUACUAUUGGAAAAGAAAAAUCCAUUUGAGGAAGGUGCAGUUACUGAUGUUCAAAUCCACGCUGAACGGCUGUUAUUUCAUAAGAAACAAAUGAAUAGUAUAUUGGCUAAACACACAAAGCAGCCAACUGAAAUCAUUG